This 253-nucleotide ribosomal RNA is filed under the name uncultured bacterium. RNAcentral's name for it is "partial 16S ribosomal RNA". It matches the Rfam family "Bacterial small subunit ribosomal RNA", at positions 524 to 776 of the family's 1533-position model. The record is from RNAcentral.
UACAGAGGUCUCAAGCGUUGUUCGGAUUCAUUGGGCGUAAAGGGUGCGUAGGCGGCGCGGUAAGUCGGGUGUGAAAUCUCGGAGCUUAACUCCGAAACUGCAUUCGAUACUGCCGUGCUUGAGGACUGGAGAGGAGACUGGAAUUUACGGUGUAGCGGUGAAAUGCGUAGAUAUCAGGAGGAACACCGGUGGCGAAGGCGACCACCUGGACUGAUACUGACACUGAGGUGCGAAAGCGUGGGGAGCAAACAGG